GUGGGGAAUCUUAGACAAUGGGGGAAACCCUGAUCUAGCCAUGCCGCGUGAUCGAUGAAGGCCUUAGGGUUGUAAAGAUCUUUCAGCUGGGAAGAUAAUGACGGUACCAGCAGAAGAAGCCCCGGCUAACUCCGUGCCAGCAGCCGCGGUAAUACGGAGGGGGCUAGCGUUGUUCGGAAUUACUGGGCGUAAAGCGCACGUAGGCGGAUUGGAAAGUUGGGGGUGAAAUCCCGGGGCUCAACCCCGGAACUGCCUUCAAAACUCCCAGUCUUGAGGUCGAGAGAGAUGAGUGGAAUUCCGAGUGUAGAGGUGAAAUUCGUAGAUAUUCGGAGGAACACCAGUGGCGAAGGCGGCUCACUGGCUCGAUACUGACGCUGAGGUGCGAAAGCGUGGGGAGCAAACAGGAUUAGAUACCCCUGUAGUCC
This 425-nucleotide ribosomal RNA is filed under the name uncultured bacterium. RNAcentral describes it as "partial 16S ribosomal RNA". It matches the Rfam family "Bacterial small subunit ribosomal RNA", at positions 354 to 796 of the family's 1533-position model. The record is from RNAcentral.